UUUUAGAAUUUUUAGAGCUCAUUUAGAUAGGUUUUGCAAAAAUGGUUAGUUGUAGAGACUAAAUUAUAAUUUUUUAAAAUUAUGGUUGUGUGACUUGUGGAUAUAGAAAUGUAUUUUUGAACCCUUUUGUAGGUUGGAUAGAUCCUAGGUAUAGGAGAAAUUUUGUCAGAUUUUCGACACGACUUAGGGUAUCUUUGAUUUUUUUAAAAUUUGUAUUGAGUCAAAUAUAUUAAA
This 234-nucleotide unclassified non-coding RNA is filed under the name Hevea brasiliensis (rubber tree). Lineage: Eukaryota; Viridiplantae; Streptophyta; Magnoliopsida; Malpighiales; Euphorbiaceae. The record is from RNAcentral.